CACGGACUUCGGUCUGGUGGCGAGUGGCGAACGGGUGAGUAACAUAUCGGAACGUAUCCAAUAAUGGGGGAUAACUAAUCGAAAGGUUGGCUAAUACCGCAUACGCCCUACGGGGGAAAGCAGGGGAUCUUCGGACCUUGCGUUAAUGGAGCGGCUGAUAUCUGAUUAGCUAGUUGGUGAGGUAAAGGCUCACCAAGGCGACGAUCAGUAGCUGGUCUGAGAGGACGACCAGCCACACUGGAACUGAGACACGGUCCAGACUCCUACGGGAGGCAGCAGUGGGGAAUUUUGGACAAUGGGCGCAAGCCUGAUCCAGCCAUUCCGCGUGAGUGAAGAAGGCCUUCGGGUUGUAAAGCUCUUUCGCAAGGGAAGAAAACUUACUUUCUAAUAAAGAGUGAGGUUGACGGUACCUUGAUAAGAAGCACCGGCUAACUACGUGCCAGCAGCCGCGGUAAUACGUAGGGUGCGAGCGUUAAUCGGAAUUACUGGGCGUAAAGCGUGCGCAGGCGGCUUUGUAAGUCAGAUGUGAAAUCCCCGAGCUCAACUUGGGAACUGCGUUUGAAACUACAAGGCUAGAAUAUGUCAGAGGGGGGUAGAAUUCCACGUGUAGCAGUGAAAUGCGUAGAGAUGUGGAGGAAUACCAAUGGCGAAGGCAGCCCCCUGGGAUAAUAUUGACGCUCAUGCACGAAAGCGUGGGGAGCAAACAGGAUUAGAUACCCUGGUAGUCCACGCCCUAAACGAUGGCUACUAGUUGUUGGUGGAGUAAAAUCCAUGAGUAACGCAGCUAACGCGUGAAGUAGACCGCCUGGGGGAGUACGGUCGCAAGAUUAAAACUCAAAUGAAUUGACGGGGGCCCGCACAAGCGGUGGAUUAUGUGGAUUAAUUCGAUGCAACGCGAAAAACCUUACCUGGCCUUGACAUGUA
This 924-nucleotide ribosomal RNA is filed under the name uncultured bacterium. RNAcentral describes it as "bacterial SSU rRNA". It matches the Rfam family "Bacterial small subunit ribosomal RNA", at positions 72 to 990 of the family's 1533-position model. The record is from RNAcentral.